RNAcentral lists this long non-coding RNA (978 nucleotides) under Hordeum vulgare. RNAcentral describes it as "long non-coding RNA (HVUL_LNC014171)". Lineage: Eukaryota; Viridiplantae; Streptophyta; Magnoliopsida; Poales; Poaceae. The record is from RNAcentral.
UUAAAUGAAUUUAUAUAUAUCUACUAGAUAUAAUUAAAUAUUGAAAUGCAUGUAUCUCGAAAAUUGUAAGUAAUUAUUUAAAGAUUUAGCAAAAUGUCAAGGAAAUAUAAAAAUAAAUCAAAUGUUUUUAUUUUGUAAGCUUAAACCUUUAGAUACGUCAUAUUGGUUUUCAAUUUUAUUAAAUCUGUCUAAAUAUUAUAAAAAAUGGCACAUGACCCUGUUUUGACUUGAUAAUACCGUGUUUAAAUAGUUGGAGGAUUACACAAAACCUGAAUUAUACGUUGUGUUGUAAUUGGCGCAUCUCUCGGGAAGCAUAUAGUAUUCAAGGCAAACUAUAUGUGGCAUAAGAAAGCAACUUCUACUCGUAAUUUAAUAAAAAUUAUGAAACAAUUAUGACAUGCUUAGUAGAGUUCUACUUAGAGUUUUAAAUUAUACUUUUUUGUUAACAAAAAAAUGAAUCUCAUUAUGAAUAUGCAUUUAAGACAUAAAUCUAAAGAAGGAACUACUAUGAAGAUGUCCACAUAUUAUUCAUAAUUUUGUGGGUUCACAUGAAGUAGUUAUGUUUAUUAUAGUUAGGUUAGGUUAUGCCAUAUGUUAUUUAUAUCUAAAAUGGAGAAAGAGAAUAAAGUGGAAAAACAAGGAGAGAUGGGCAGUUCUGGCUGUCCUUGAUUAGGUUCUGUUUUUUCUGCCCCUGUAGGGUUUCUUUAGCAAUAUGCCCCAGUGGGUAAAAAUAAAAGAAAAAAAGGAAAGUAAAAGGGCAGUAAAGAUGGGCGUUGGCCCAUUGGUUGGUGGAAGAAAAAUGAAUGUUAAAAGGAGAGGAAACGAGAUUCGGCCUAUUUGAUUUCCCUUUUUUUCUCAUUUGAACUAAGAUAUAAAAAAUUGUCAGUGGCAUAAACAUAGAAAUGGAAAUAUUAUGAAGAUAUCAACAUAAUAUUCAUAUUUUUGUAUGUUCAUAUGAAAUUUUACAAGAAUAAUUUG